This 429-nucleotide ribosomal RNA is filed under the name uncultured bacterium. Its description in RNAcentral is "bacterial SSU rRNA". It matches the Rfam family "Bacterial small subunit ribosomal RNA", at positions 355 to 801 of the family's 1533-position model. The record is from RNAcentral.
UGGGGAAUUUUGGGCAAUGGGGGAAACCCUGACCCAGCAACGCCGCGUGAAGGAUGAAGUAUUUCGGUAUGUAAACUUCGAAAGAAUAGGAAGAAUAAAUGACGGUACUAUUUAUAAGGUCCGGCUAACUACGUGCCAGCAGCCGCGGUAAUACGUAGGGACCAAGCGUUGUUCGGAUUUACUGGGCGUAAAGGGCGCGUAGGCGGCAUGACAAGUCACUUGUGAAAUCUCUGGGCUUAACCCAGAACGGCCAAGUGAUACUGUCGCGCUAGAGUGCAGAAGGGGCAAUCGGAAUUCUUGGUGUAGCGGUGAAAUGCGUAGAUAUCAAGAGGAACACCUGAGGUGAAGACGGGUUGCUGGGCUGACACUGACGCUGAGGCGCGAAAGCCAGGGGAGCAAACGGGAUUAGAUACCCCAGUAGUCCCUGAG